CGUGGGAGGAGGAGGGGGCGAGCCGUGUGUUUUCGGAGUCCGCUGUGCCGCUCGGACCCAGAGGCAGAUGGUCCAGAGCGGUUCUGCAGUCUCAUUCUGAAUUGCCACUCGCUCGGGGCGGGACGUUGCCAAAAUCGACAUCUGCUCACCGCGCCUUCGAAAUAAAAAAAAAAGACGGUGCAGGAAAAAGGCAGGCGGGCUCAUCGAGGCUCAGAUGAUCGGACGAGCGUAACCUGCAGCCAUAUUAGGGUUCAGUCAGCGUCGACAAUCAGUCAUGGCUCAAACAUGGCUAUGCCCGCCCAGUUUGGGUGCAAUUUGAUCUUUACCGCGGCUCUCCGCAGCACAAAGGGACCGCGGAGAUGCGAGCUGCUGCAGCACCAGCGGCACGUUUGGGAGCGCGGCGCCGCUCGGGGCUGGACGCCAGCCAUGGGUGGCAUGCUCCCAGCAAGCCACCGCACAGCCCGGAAGACGGAGCUCUCCACCUGGUGUACAGCGGGCCCUCCGGGGGCCCCGGGCUGAGCCCCGCACAUCAGAAGCUCUGGUGGCGGGUAAAUUGGUUUGUUUACUCCAGAAGAGCGAAUACAAAUGAAAGAUAAAUUAACGAGGAAGUCUCCUGGAAUCGGCGCACUGAGACUGCCUCAUGCAUCAUAACCUUGACAUGAAAGACAAACAAAUGGCGGUUUUGUCUCCAUAUGAAACCCGAAAAUGAAAACAGGAAGGAUUCAGUAAGAUAAAGGUUUGCCGUGACCCCGGCGCUGGCUAAGCAGUUAUGGAAAAUGGAUGGAUGGAAUUCAAUUUGAUUCACCGGUUGAAUGGCAACGUAUUGCACUCUGGAGAGGUUUCUGCCAGCGUUCGGGUGUGUAAGGUGGGAGCGAGCUGUGUUUUGGAGCGGGAAGCAUGGCUGGGUUGUGUGCAGCACUGUCUGUGUAUGCAUGCCUCGGAGCAGUGAUUCCCGGCUCAAAAAAGGCAACAAGAAGGAAAAAAAUCUUCAAUAAAAUCAUCAGGGAAGCAGAUACAGUUUCAAUGUGCAGCACUCAGUGAUGAAAGGCAGUUGUCACUGAUCACGUGAUCCCUUCAUAUCUGAGAUACUGACCACUCCUGAGCUGUCACGUGCACAAGGCGAUGCCCGUUACUGCUGUUAAACGUGCUUCAGAACCAUCCUCUAUCAGUGUAUUGUGGGAACGCUUUUUAGUGACGGACUGCAGCGACCUGAAGUACCCUGAAUUACUGAUGCAGGAUGACAAAAUGAUGUGAUUUAGAUGGAAGCACCGCGAUCAGCAAUAUGAGGGAAAAAAGACAUCUACUAUAUCAUACCCAAUGAAAUCCAAUAUCACAUUAUCGUUCCCAGUGCACUUCGCCAAUGUGUACUCUGUCUCCCUCUACUGCUAAAGUGAAGAAUUGCAGACGGGAUGAAGGCGCGGAGCUCAAGACGAUGUGAAUGUUUGGCUGGUGAUCGAGACCAAAACCAGACGAUGAACUUUGAGGUAGAGAGCAGAACAAACAUUCCUACUGGAGAACCACUGAAUUUCCCAAUGAAACACAUCUAUGUUGAACCAAGAAACCCAGAACCAAUAAAACAGAUCCAAAGCUGUAUGUAUUCAAAUAA
Paramormyrops kingsleyae is the source of this 1606-nucleotide long non-coding RNA. RefSeq lists it as uncharacterized. The record is from RefSeq and is a predicted model, not a curated record. NCBI's taxonomy places the organism in Eukaryota, Metazoa, Chordata, Actinopteri, Osteoglossiformes, Mormyridae.